UUUAUGGAGAGUUUGAUCCUGGCUCAGAGUGAACGCUGGCGGCGUGCCUAAUACAUGCAAGUCGAACGAUGAAGCUUCUAGCUUGCUAGAAUGCUGAUUAGUGGCGCACGGGUGAGUAACGCAUAGGUCAUGUGCCUCUUAGUUUGGGAUAGCCAUUGGAAACGAUGAUUAAUACCAGAUACUCCCUACGGGGGAAAGAUUUAUCGCUAAGAGAUCAGCCUAUGUCCUAUCAGCUUGUUGGUAAGGUAAUGGCUUACCAAGGCUAUGACGGGUAUCCGGCCUGAGAGGGUGAACGGACACACUGGAACUGAGACACGGUCCAGACUCCUACGGGAGGCAGCAGUAGGGAAUAUUGCUCAAUGGGGGAAACCCUGAAGCAGCAACGCCGCGUGGAGGAUGAAGGUUUUAGGAUUGUAAACUCCUUUUGUUAGAGAAGAUAAUGACGGUAUCUAACGAAUAAGCACCGGCUAACUCCGUGCCAGCAGCCGCGGUAAUACGGAGGGUGCAAGCGUUACUCGGAAUCACUGGGCGUAAAGAGCGCGUAGGCGGGAUAGUCAGUCAGGUGUGAAAUCCUAUGGCUUAACCAUAGAACUGCAUUUGAAACUACUAUUCUAGAGUGUGGGAGAGGUAGGUGGAAUUCUUGGUGUAGGGGUAAAAUCCGUAGAGAUCAAGAGGAAUACUCAUUGCGAAGGCGACCUGCUGGAACAUUACUGACGCUGAUUGUGCGAAAGCGUGGGGAGCAAACAGGAUUAGAUACCCUGGUAGUCCACGCCCUAAACGAUGGAUGCUAGUUGUUGGAGGGCUUAGUCUCUCCAGUAAUGCAGCUAACGCAUUAAGCAUCCCGCCUGGGGAGUACGGUCGCAAGAUUAAAACUCAAAGGAAUAGACGGGGACCCGCACAAGCGGUGGAGCAUGUGGUUUAAUUCGAAGAUACACGAAGAACCUUACCUAGGCUUGACAUUGAGAGAAUCCGCUAGAAAUAGUGGAGUGUCUGGCUUGCUAGACCUUGAAAACAGGUGCUGCACGGCUGUCGUCAGCUCGUGUCGUGAGAUGUUGGGUUAAGUCCCGCAACGAGCGCAACCCCCUUUCUUAGUUGCUAACAGGUUAUGCUGAGAACUCUAAGGAUACUGCCUCCGUAAGGAGGAGGAAGGUGGGGACGACGUCAAGUCAUCAUGGCCCUUACGCCUAGGGCUACACACGUGCUACAAUGGGGUGCACAAAGAGAAGCAAUACUGCGAAGUGGAGCCAAUCUUCAAAACACCUCUCAGUUCGGAUUGUAGGCUGCAACUCGCCUGCAUGAAGCUGGAAUCGCUAGUAAUCGCAAAUCAGCCAUGUUGCGGUGAAUACGUUCCCGGGUCUUGUACUCACCGCCCGUCACACCAUGGGAGUUGUGUUUGCCUUAAGUCAGGAUGCUAAAUUGGCUACUGCCCACGGCACACACAGCGACUGGGGUGAAGUCGUAACAAGGUAACCGUAGGUGAACCUGCGGUUGGAUCACCUCCUUU
Molecule: ribosomal RNA, 1504 nt
Filed under: Helicobacter pylori
Lineage: Bacteria; Pseudomonadati; Campylobacterota; Epsilonproteobacteria; Campylobacterales; Helicobacteraceae
Description: bacterial SSU rRNA
Rfam family: Bacterial small subunit ribosomal RNA
Source: RNAcentral